AUUGAACGCUGGCGGCAGGCUUAACACAUGCAAGUCGAACGAUGACUCUCUAGCUUGCUAGAGAAGAUUAGUGGCGGACGGGUGAGUAACAUUUAGGAAUCUACCUAGUAGUGGGGGAUAGCUCGGGGAAACUCGAAUUAAUACCGCAUACGGCCUACGGGUGAAAGGGGGCGCAAGCUCUUGCUAUUAGAUGAGCCUAACUCAGAUUAGCUAGUUGGUGGGGUAAAGGCCCACCAAGGCGACGAUCUGUAACUGGUCUGAGAGGAUGAUCAGUCACACCGGAACUGAGACACGGUCCGGACUCCUACGGGAGGCAGCAGUGGGGAAUAUUGGACAAUGGGGGCAACCCUGAUCCAGCCAUGCCGCGUGUGUGAAGAAGGCCUUUUGGUUGUAAAGCACUUUAAGCAGGGAGGAGAGGCUAAUGGUUAAUACCCAUUAGAUUAGACGUUACCUGCAGAAUAAGCACCGGCUAACUCUGUG
Molecule: ribosomal RNA, 480 nt
Filed under: uncultured bacterium
Lineage: Bacteria
Description: partial 16S ribosomal RNA
Rfam family: Bacterial small subunit ribosomal RNA
Source: RNAcentral